GAUAGGACGCUGUCGCCUGCGUGAUUGGACACUGACACAGGGUCAACUAGCCUUGGUCAAGCGGUUCUUCGCAUGCGGAACCGGCGACGGUCCGAGCCACGAGGGGGGAGGCUCGGACCGUCCUGC
RNAcentral lists this non-coding RNA (126 nucleotides) under Streptomyces pluripotens. RNAcentral describes it as "Streptomyces RNA 3920". It matches the Rfam family "Streptomyces RNA 3920". From Rfam's summary of the family: Identified by deep sequencing of transcriptome at the end of exponential growth phase. Sequencing size consistent with northern blot size. The record is from Rfam by way of RNAcentral. Lineage: Bacteria; Bacillati; Actinomycetota; Actinomycetes; Kitasatosporales; Streptomycetaceae.